Molecule: long non-coding RNA, 1471 nt
Organism: Oncorhynchus masou masou (cherry salmon)
Lineage: Eukaryota; Metazoa; Chordata; Actinopteri; Salmoniformes; Salmonidae
Exons: 3
Source: RefSeq, a predicted model, not a curated record
ACAUUUUGACUCAAAUUGAAAGGAUAGUUCAACUUCAACUAUCACAGUGUACUUGCAAAAAAAUAAUGAAUGGAGGAAUCUUGCACACUUGAGAGCAGUUAAAAAAACAUUCUGAUACAGUUUAAACCUUUCCUUGACUGGCUCUCGGUGGCCCUCUUUGUUUCCUGUACCUGUGGUAGGUGGACUUGUACACGCAGAAAAAAAGGAACUUGCAUUCACAUCCUUCUUUCGGUAACUGACAGGAAACAAUGAACAAGAGAACAGCUCUAACAAUUCUAUGCUGUUCCAUGUUCUGUGAGGCUUUUGGAGCAGGUCAAAAUGAGAUUCUAGUGGAACCAGGGGACACAGUCACCCUUGGCUGUGACAUUACCCUGGAGUAUGAGGUCAUGUGGUUUGUUCUUCGUCCUGAUGCCACUCUUUCAGUAGCCAUCACUAUAAAGACAAAUACACCCCUGAGCCUCAACAAAAAGUUUGAUGGCCGUUUCAAGUCAGUGUAUGACACAGGCCUGUUCCGAAGCAAUCUGAGCAUACUGAACAUCUCAGAGAGUGACGUGGGUCUGUACUACUGUGUUGAGCAGAGGACUAACAUAUUUGAGAUCGGAAGUGGGACCAAGCUCUCCCUUAUCAGUGGUGAUCAGCUCUCUACUACUGUUGUUGGGAUGAAGUUGUCAUGGUUUAUCACCUUGAUCAUAGCCCCCAUGUUCUCUGUGCUGGGGUCUGCUCUCUGUGUCUUCUGCUGUUGACGACCUGCUAAGAAAUUAUUUGCACCCAAUAAUUCUCAUUUUCACAUUGAAUCAGCUUUCUGAAAUGUAUUUUUUUAAUACUUAUGUGGUGCAACUCACUGUCUGUAAAUCGGGUAUUGGUGUUUAUUGCGCAUUUCAUGAAGAUAAAAAAAAUAGCUGUCCUCUUACACUGUAGAUCCUGACAAAAUGAGGAUUCUGGAACAAUUUGGUUGAAGCCUGUCAUCGAGAGGACCAAGAGUGAGUAUAGGAGGACAAACAGGAAUAAAAUGUAAAAAUGCUGAGAGUAAAAGUAACAUUUCUGGUGUUUUAUGAAGUCUCCUGUGACACACGGGGUUAAACUUCUGCCACUCCAUACAUCCAAGUAGGUGGACGAUGGGAUCUACAUGUGUCCAGAUUGGUUUCACAUCUUUUUAUUUAUUGUGUUAUUCCAGUGUUGAUUGCAUGACCAGUAUGUUCAGGGUGUUAGAGAUAGAAAUUUAUUGAACAAGAUCAUUUUAGACAUCUGAUCUUAAAUCAUUUACAUCAUAUCUACCAUUCCAUCCAAGGACCAAUUAUCAAAACAGAACUGGUUUAACCAUAAAUCUGCAACUGUAAAUAUAUUUUUUAAUCUGAAACACAACAACCUGCUGUAAUACUGCAUUCGGAUGUAUUCAGACCGCUUGACUUUUCCCCGCAUUGUUACGUUACAGCUUAUUCUAAAAUUGAUUAAAUUAUAUUUUUCUUCAGUC